GAUGAACGCUGGCGGCGUGCCUAAUACAUGCAAGUCGAGCGAACAGACGAGGAGCUUGCUCCUCUGACGUUAGCGGCGGACGGGUGAGUAACACGUGGAUAACCUACCUAUAAGACUGGGAUAACUUCGGGAAACCGGAGCUAAUACCGGAUAAUAUUUUAAACCGCAUGGUUCAAUAGUGAAAGACGGUUUUGCUGUCACUUAUAGAUGGAUCCGCGCCGCAUUAGCUAGUUGGUAAGGUAACGGCUUACCAAGGCAACGAUGCGUAGCCGACCUGAGAGGGUGAUCGGCCACACUGGAACUGAGACACGGUCCAGACUCCUACGGGAGGCAGCAGUAGGGAAUCUUCCGCAAUGGGCGAAAGCCUGACGGAGCAACGCCGCGUGAGUGAUGAAGGUCUUCGGAUCGUAAAACUCUGUUAUUAGGGAAGAACAAAUGUGUAAGUAACUAUGCACGUCUUGACGGUACCUAAUCAGAAAGCCACGGCUAACUACGUG
RNAcentral lists this ribosomal RNA (497 nucleotides) under uncultured bacterium. RNAcentral's name for it is "partial 16S ribosomal RNA". It matches the Rfam family "Bacterial small subunit ribosomal RNA", at positions 28 to 507 of the family's 1533-position model. The record is from RNAcentral.